GUAGGUGGCAAGCGUUGUCCGGAAUUAUUGGGCGUAAAGCGCGCGCAGGCGGUCCUUUAAGUCUGAUGUGAAAGCCCACGGCUCAACCGUGGAGGGUCAUUGGAAACUGGGGGACUUGAGUACAGAAGAGGAAAGCGGAAUUCCAAGUGUAGCGGUGAAAUGCGUAGAGAUUUGGAGGAACACCAGUGGCGAAGGCGGCUCUCUGGUCUGUAACUGACGCUGAGGCGCGAAAGCGUGGGGAGCAAACAGGGAUUAGAUACCCUGGUAGUCCACGCCGUAAACGAUGAGUGCUAAGUGUUAGGGGGGUUUCCGCCCCCUUAGUGCUGCAGCUAACGCAUUAAGCACUCCGCCUGGGGAGUACGGCCGCAAGGCUG
This 374-nucleotide ribosomal RNA is filed under the name uncultured organism. RNAcentral's name for it is "partial 16S ribosomal RNA". It matches the Rfam family "Bacterial small subunit ribosomal RNA", at positions 527 to 896 of the family's 1533-position model. The record is from RNAcentral.